CCUACGGGAGGCAGCAGUAGGGAAUUUUCGUCAAUGGGCGCAAGCCUGAACGAGCAAUGCCGCGUGAACGAGGAAGGUCUUCGGAUCGUUAAGUUCUGUUGAAGGGGAAAAAGAGCGGAGAGAGGAAAUGAGCUCCGAUUGAUAUUACCCUUCGAGGAAGUGACGGCUAACUACGUGCCAGCAGCCGAGGUAAUACGUAGGGGGCGAGCGUUAUCCGGAAUGGUUGGGCGAAAGGGGUGCGUAGGCGGCCUGCUAAGUCUGGAGUGAAAGGGACGGGCUCAACCGGUACAGGCUCUGGAAACUGGCGGGCUAGAGAGCAGGAGAGGGCGGUGGAACUCCAGGUGUAGCGGUAAAAUGCGUAGAUAUAUGGAAGAACACCAGUGGCGAAGGCGGCCGCCUGGCCUGUUACUGACGCUGAGGCACGAAAGCGUGGGGAGCAAAUAGGAUUAGAUACCCGGGUAGUC
This 464-nucleotide ribosomal RNA is filed under the name uncultured bacterium. Its description in RNAcentral is "partial 16S ribosomal RNA". It matches the Rfam family "Bacterial small subunit ribosomal RNA", at positions 338 to 795 of the family's 1533-position model. The record is from RNAcentral.